RNAcentral lists this ribosomal RNA (497 nucleotides) under uncultured bacterium. RNAcentral describes it as "partial 16S ribosomal RNA". It matches the Rfam family "Bacterial small subunit ribosomal RNA", at positions 28 to 507 of the family's 1533-position model. The record is from RNAcentral.
GAUGAACGCUGGCGGCGUGCCUAAUACAUGCAAGUCGAGCGAACAGACGAGGAGCUUGCUCCUCUGACGUUAGCGGCGGACGGGUGAGUAACACGUGGAUAACCUACCUAUAAGACUGGGAUAACUUCGGGAAACCGGAGCUAAUACCGGAUAAUAUAUUGAACCGCAUGGUUCAAUAGUGAAAGACGGUUUUGCUGUCACUUAUAGAUGGAUCCGCGCCGCAUUAGCUAGUUGGUAAGGUAACGGCUUACCAAGGCAACGAUGCGUAGCCGACCUGAGAGGAUGAUCAGCCACACUGGAACUGAGACACGGUCCAGACUCCUACGGGAGGCAGCAGUAGGGAAUCUUCGGCAAUGGGCGAAAGCUUGACGGAGCAACGCCGCGUGAGUGAAGAAGGUCUUCGGAUCGUAAAACUCUGUUAUUAGGGAAGAACAAAUGUGUAAGUAACUAUGCACGUCUUGACGGUACCUAAUCAGAAAGCCACGGCUAACUACGUG